ACGGAGGAUCCGAGCGUUAUCCGGAUUUAUUGGGUUUAAAGGGUGCGUAGGCGGUAGGAUAAGUCAGCGAGUGAAAUACUGCAGCUUAACUGUAGUUGUGCCGUUGAAACUGUUUUACUUGAGUUAUCCUGAGGUAGGCGGAAUGUGUAGUGUAGCGGUGAAGUGCUUAGAUAUUACACAGAACACCGAUUGCGAAGGCAGCUUACUAAGGGUCGACUGACGCUGAGGCACGAAAGCGUGGGGAUCGAAC
This 250-nucleotide ribosomal RNA is filed under the name uncultured bacterium. RNAcentral describes it as "partial 16S ribosomal RNA". It matches the Rfam family "Bacterial small subunit ribosomal RNA", at positions 525 to 773 of the family's 1533-position model. The record is from RNAcentral.